This 1201-nucleotide long non-coding RNA is filed under the name Homo sapiens (human). Its description in RNAcentral is "HSALNT0126653". The record is from RNAcentral. Lineage: Eukaryota; Metazoa; Chordata; Mammalia; Primates; Hominidae.
CUCAAACUCCUGACCUCAGGUGAUCUGACCGCCUUGGCCUCCGAAAGUGCUGAGAUUACAGUUGCGAGCCACUGUGCGUGGCCAGAACUUUAUAAUAAGAGACUUGAAGCUGGGUGUGACGGUGCACACCUCUAGUCCCAGCUACUCGGGAGGCCAAGACAGAAGGAUCACCUUGAGGCCAGGAGUUUAAGGCCAGCCUGGGCAACAUAGCAAAACCUAGUCCCUAAAAUUAAAAAAAAAAAAAAAAAAAAAAGGAAAAUAAAGGAGACUUGAAAUUUUUGAACUAAAUAGUGGUGAUGGCUACACAUUGUGAAUGUAAUUAACACCACUGAGUUAAACACUUAAAAUGGUUAAAAUGGCAAAUUGUAUGUUAUACCUAUUUUACUACAAUAAAAAGUAUAAAAAAGAGAAGAUAUUUAGGUGACUUACAGCAACCAAUUGCAACAAAACAAAAUGUUAAGAAAUGAUCUUUUUAUGAGGCAAUUGGAAAUUUGAACACUGAUCAACUAUAGGAUGAUUGGAAUUAUUAAUUUUUAAAGGUGUGAUAAGAUACUGCACUUGGCUGGGCACAGUGGCACAUGCCUGUAAUCCCAGCUACUUGGCAGGCUGAGGUGGGAGAAUCGCUUGAGCUCAGGAGUUCGAGACCAGCCUGGGCAACGUGGCGAAAUCCCCGUCUUUACAAAAACAAACAAACAAACAAAAAAGAUAUUGCAGUUGUGUUGUAAGCGUCCUUAUCUUUCAGAGCUACAUAGUGGAAUGUUUAUGGAAUAUUUAGGAUAAAUGAUAUAGGCAUUUGGGAUUUGCUGCAAAAUGACCCAGAGGCAGGGGUCAGGGGGAGAGGUAGAGAUGAGACAAGAGGUAGAGGGGAGAGGUAGAGGUAGCCACGAGCUGAUAAUUACAGACAAGAGAUGCGGAGUAUGUGGGGGCUCAUUAUCCUGCAUAGUCUAUCUUUGUAUAUCUUUGAACUUUUCAAGAAUAAAAAAGCUUAAAAAGUAUACAUGGCCUGGUCCUACCAGAGACUCACCCAAUGCCAGCCUCCAGCCAGGGAGAGCCAAGUUUGCAUUUUCACACGCAUCUCACACUCCUCUGCACUCUCAACUUGGAGCGCUCCAAACAGGGAAACCCCAAGCCUUGCUGGCUUCUGCCAACCCCCUGAGCAGAAGCAUGGGUCCCCCUGAUCACCACCUCACCACCCUCAUCC